Molecule: long non-coding RNA, 1672 nt
Filed under: Homo sapiens (human)
Lineage: Eukaryota; Metazoa; Chordata; Mammalia; Primates; Hominidae
Description: non-protein coding lnc-PRICKLE2-3:2
Source: RNAcentral
ACUUUUCACGUCUGGCAUCCUCAGAAUCCUCCAAAAGGUCGGAUUCAGACAAUCCGGUGGAGCACUCUGAAAUUUAGAGGAAGUGGUCAAAUAGAAUUUUCUGGAAUUAUGGAAAUCUUCUAUUCUGUGCAUCUAGUAUAGUAGAAUCUAGUCACAUGUGGCUUUUGAGAACUGGAAAUAUGGCUAAUGCAACAGAGAAAGUGAAUUUUUACUUUUGAUUCAUUUAAAUAUAAAUGGUCACAUAUGACAUCACUGCCAUAUUGGACAUUGCAGUUCUGGAAGAUGGCAGAUGCAGCCCUCAGAAGAAUUAUCAGCCUGAAUGUCUGGGCGGAGCAGAGCACUACCUUCCCACUCACUCUUCCCCUCCUCUCGCCCCCUCCCCUGCCUCACUUGCAUCAGAUUAUGAUGUGAGCAAAAGCAGGAAACAGCUCUUUUGAUAGGCCUGUGAGACUUGCUGUUCGUUGGAGUAGCUAGGCUGCUCUGACUCAUACAGACCCAAAUCCUGGCAACCACUUUUAUGAAGAAAUGACAAUUCAGUCUACUACUUGUCCAUUUUACAUGCCCAAGGAAUGUGAGGGGCCUCUGCUUGGAUCUAGUUUUCAACCUAGUCUAUGGCAUUGAUUAUCCUUUUAAAAGACAAAAGAGGUGACUUCACGGGCACUUAACAUCUUGGCCAUACUGACCCCAGUUGCACGCUACGUAGGAAGUUUUAGUCCAUUUAAACUGAAGUUCCAAUUUUUUUUUUAACAACUAUUUAAAAAUUGUACAUGUCCCAUACAUGACAGAGAAAGGGUUGUCUGGUUGGAUGAUUUUUGGCUUGCAAAAAGAGAACACAAAAGAAAAGCAUACGUUUUAAUACUCAAGAGACCAAAUUUUCUGCUGAAGAGGAAAUGAACUACAUAUCCAGAAGGGUCCUACCAAGAGGCCAAACAGACUGUGUUCUCUUGGGGGAGUUCUCAGUGGUGAUGAGAACACCACUUUUUUUUUUUUUUUAGUCAUUUUCAAGGUGAGAUAUUGACUUGCUGCUGGAGCAGGACAACUGGUCUCUCUUUCAUUGCUAGCAGCAGAGUAAGGGUCUUGCAAGUUUCAGGCAGCAGCAGAGAAAGGGUCUUGCAAGUUUCAGUCCAAAGCAAGAAGAGCUAGGAUUGCACCAGCUGUCUCACCUACUCUGUGCUCACCUGUUUCUGGAUGAAGCACGGUGACAUCUGUUUUAUUGUAAAGAGAACCAACUUUGGAAUCAAAUGGAACCUGUAUUAAAAUCCUGAAUCCGUCACUAGCUUGGACAAGUCACUUCACUUCUCUGAACCUUGUUUUAUUCCAGUUAAGAAUAAUAGUAAGCCAGUCCCACAGAGCUGUAGCAAGGUUAAAAUGAAUGGUUGUCUGUAGAAGCAUUUAAAAUAGGGCUUCAUACAGAGCCAGUACCUGGGGAGACUGAGGGUUUGAACCACAUAGUUCCACUCUGGCAAAUCACAGAGGGGCUGUAGGAUGGUCCUUUAAGGGGGAUGUGUUAUGGGUUAAUUGGAACAGUGCUUCUUAAACUCCAGUGUGCAUUCAUAUUGCUUAGGGGUUUUGUUUAAAUGCAGAUUCUGAGUUACUAGGAUUAUGCAAUUUGAAUGAGCUUGCAGAUAAUUUCAUGGCUGCUGGUCUCUGACAUCACCUUUGAGAAGCAAAG